GGGCAUAGCUCAGUUGGUAGAGCGCUACCUUGCCAAGGUCGAGGUCACGAGUUCGAAUCUCGUUGCCCGCUCCA
This 74-nucleotide transfer RNA is filed under the name Rheinheimera sp. RNAcentral describes it as "tRNA-Gly". It matches the Rfam family "tRNA". From Rfam's summary of the family: Transfer RNA (tRNA) molecules are approximately 80 nucleotides in length. Their secondary structure includes four short double-helical elements and three loops (D, anti-codon, and T loops). Further hydrogen bonds mediate the characteristic L-shaped molecular structure. tRNAs have two regions of fundamental functional importance: the anti-codon, which is responsible for specific mRNA codon recognition, and the 3' end, to which the tRNAs corresponding amino acid is attached (by aminoacyl-tRNA synthetases). tRNAs cope with the degeneracy of the genetic code in two manners: having more than one tRNA (with a specific anti-codon) for a particular amino acid; and 'wobble' base-pairing, i.e. permitting non-standard base-pairing at the 3rd anti-codon position. Lineage: Bacteria; Pseudomonadati; Pseudomonadota; Gammaproteobacteria; Chromatiales; Chromatiaceae. The record is from RNAcentral.